This 100-nucleotide ribosomal RNA is filed under the name Paenibacillus sp. 79R4. RNAcentral's name for it is "partial 23S ribosomal RNA". It matches the Rfam family "Bacterial large subunit ribosomal RNA", at positions 2828 to 2925 of the family's 2925-position model. The record is from RNAcentral. Lineage: Bacteria; Bacillati; Bacillota; Bacilli; Caryophanales; Paenibacillaceae.
UAAGACCCCUUGAAGACGACGAGGUUGAUAGGCCUGAGGUGGAAGUGCAGCAAUGUAUGGAGCUGACAGGUACUAAUCGGUCGAGGGCUUAUCCAAAAAC